This 492-nucleotide ribosomal RNA is filed under the name uncultured bacterium. Its description in RNAcentral is "partial 16S ribosomal RNA". It matches the Rfam family "Bacterial small subunit ribosomal RNA", at positions 29 to 507 of the family's 1533-position model. The record is from RNAcentral.
AGUGAACGCUGGCGGUAGGCCUAACACAUGCAAGUCGAACGGCGGCACAGUAAGAGCUUGCUCUUACGGGUGGCGAGUGGCGGACGGGUUAGGAAUACAUCGAAAUCUACUUUUUCUGGGGGGGUAACGUAGGGAAACUUACGCUCAUACCGCAUACGACCUACGUGUGAAAUCAGGCGAUCUUCGUAACUUGCGCGAUUGAUUGAGCCGAUGUCGGAUUAUAUAGUUGGCGGGGUAAAGGCCCACCAAGGCUACGUUCCGUAGCUGGUCUGAGAGGAUGGUCAGACACAAUGGAACUGAGACACCGUCCAGACUCCUACGGGAGGAAGGAGUGGGGAAUUUUGAAGAAUGGGGGCAAGCCUGAUCCAUCCCUACCGCGUGAGUGAAGAAGGCCUUCGGGUUUUAAAGCCCUAUUGUUGGGAAAGAAAAGCAGUAUGUUAAUACCCCGCUGUUCUGACGGUACCCAAACAAUAAGCACCGGCUAACUUCGUG